Sinocyclocheilus anshuiensis is the source of this 530-nucleotide long non-coding RNA. RefSeq lists it as uncharacterized. NCBI's taxonomy places the organism in Eukaryota, Metazoa, Chordata, Actinopteri, Cypriniformes, Cyprinidae. The record is from RefSeq and is a predicted model, not a curated record. The transcript has 2 exons.
UUUUUUUUUCUUUCUGUUUUUAAUGAGUCCCAGAAGCAGGAAGCCGUGUGUUUUGCACAGCGCCGGAGAUGUUAAACGCUUCAGGCUCUGAAUAUGAUGUUAAAAAUGGACAUGAUCCUGUUUCACUGCUGCCAGUUUGAAGUCGUGUUCACGUAUCUGUUCCUCCCCAUUAUGGACGCCCAGCUUUUACGGGAAGGAUAGAGAGAGAGCGGAAGAUUUAUGGAAGGAUGUGGGGUGAGGACGGUUUGUGGAAAACAGGAAACCCAUAACUCCACUCAGAAGUGCAGUUAGACAAAAUGUGUUUAUACGCUUUACUUUUAGACCAAUCAGCCUCAGCCAAUCAUGUGAUCUUUGCAUGUGAUUGGUAGGAGGGACGGAUCAGAACAGACCAAACGUGAAUCGUCAAGCUCUACAGGGACCAAUUGUAAUGCCUUAUCACACAAAUCAACCAAUGGGGUGUUUUUAUUCUGAUUAAGUGGAUUCUAAAGACUCUUUUACAGCCCCACCGUGUGUUUCUCUUUAUAUUGAAU